UCGGACUGUAGUCUGCAACCCGACUACACGAAGCUGGAUCGCUAGUAAUCGCGGAUCAGCAUGCCGCGGUGAAUACGUUCCCGGGUCUUGUACACACCGCCCGUCACACCAUGGGAGUUGGAAAUGCCCGAAGUCAGUGACCCAACCGGAAACGGAGGGAGCUGCCGAAGGCAGGUCUGAUAACUGGGGUGAAGUCGUAACAAGGUACC
This 209-nucleotide ribosomal RNA is filed under the name uncultured bacterium. RNAcentral describes it as "partial 16S ribosomal RNA". It matches the Rfam family "Bacterial small subunit ribosomal RNA", at positions 1293 to 1500 of the family's 1533-position model. The record is from RNAcentral.